This 427-nucleotide ribosomal RNA is filed under the name uncultured bacterium. RNAcentral's name for it is "partial 16S ribosomal RNA". It matches the Rfam family "Bacterial small subunit ribosomal RNA", at positions 354 to 796 of the family's 1533-position model. The record is from RNAcentral.
GUGGGGAAUAUUGGGCAAUGGGCGAAAGCCUGACCCAGCAACGCCGCGUGAGGGAAGAAGGCCUUAGGGUCGUAAACCUCUGUUGUGUGGGAAGAAGAGCGUGACGGUACCACACGAGGAAGUCCCGGCUAACUACGUGCCAGCAGCCGCGGUAAUACGUAGGGGACGAGCGUUGUCCGGAUUUACUGGGCGUAAAGGGCGCGUAGGCGGUCAUUUAAGUCAGCUGUGAAAUGGUUUGGCUUAACCGGAUCAUGCGGUUGAAACUGGAUGACUGGAGUGCUGGAGAGGCAAGUGGAAUUCCCAGUGUAGCGGUGAAAUGCGUAGAUAUUGGGAAGAACACCGGUGGCGAAGGCGACUUGCUGGCCAGCAACUGACGCUGAGGCGCGAAAGCCAGGGGAGCAAACGGGAUUAGAAACCCCGGUAGUCC